CCUACGGGAGGCAGCAGUGGGGAAUAUUGCGCAAUGGGCGAAAGCCUGACGCAGCGACGCCGCGUGAGGGAUGAAGGCCUUCGGGUUGUAAACCUCUUUCAGCAGGGACGAAAACAGACGGUACCUGCAGAAGAAGCACCGGCCAACUACGUGCCAGCAGCCGCGGUAAUACGUAGGGUGCAAGCGUUGUCCGGAAUUAUUGGGCGUAAAGAGCUCGUAGGCGGUUUGUCGCGUCGGCUGUGAAAACUCGGGGCUCAACCCCGAGCCUGCAGUCGAUACGGGCAGACUAGAGUGCUGUAGGGGAGACUGGAAUUCCUGGUGUAGCGGUGAAAUGCGCAGAUAUCAGGAGGAACACCGGUGGCGAAGGCGGGUCUCUGGGCAGUAACUGACGCUGAGGAGCGAAAGCGUGGGGAGCAAACAGGAUUAGAUACCCUGGUAGUCCACGCCGUAAACGGUGGGUGCUAGGUGUAGGUCGUAUUCCUACGCGAUCUGUGCCGCNGCUACGACAUAAGACACCCGCCGCGGGAGGUACGGCCGCGACGGACGUAAACGUACGUAAAGGUAAGUUAGUUACGGCGUGAGACGUGCCGACGGCGACGACGAGGGAGGAGG
RNAcentral lists this ribosomal RNA (612 nucleotides) under uncultured bacterium. RNAcentral describes it as "bacterial SSU rRNA". The stretch from base 1 to 521 matches the Rfam family "Bacterial small subunit ribosomal RNA", at positions 338 to 873 of the family's 1533-position model. The record is from RNAcentral.